UGGUAGGGACGAAAAAUAACAAUGCGGGACUCUUGCGAGUCUGCGUAAUUGGAAUGAGCACACUUUAAAUCCUUUAGCAACAAUCAAUUGGAGGGCAAGUCUGGUGCCAGCAGCCGCGGUAAUUCCAGCUCCAAUAGCGUAUAUUAAAGUUGUUGCGGUUAAAAAGCUCGUAGUUCGAGUUGAGUUUGGGAGUGGGGUGGGAGGUCACCGCCCGGUGCUUCCCCCCUAGGUCCUGGACAGCUUCCGUGAGUGGAAGCCAAGCCAGUUGUUGCGGGGUGCUCUUUACCGAGUGUGCCGUGCGGCCGGUGAGUUCACCUUGAAUAAAUGAGAGUGCUCAAAGCAGGCUACUCUUGAAUACAAUGCCGGAAUGUUAGCUGCAUGGAAUGAUGGAAGAUGAUCUGGGUUCCAUUUUGUUGGUGGUGGGAGCCCCAGUUAAUGAUAAAGAGGGACUGUCGGGGGCAUCCGUACUACGACGCGAGAGGUGAAAUUCAGUGACCGUCGUAGGACGAACAACAGCGAAAGCAUUUGCCAAGAAUGUCUUCGUUGAUCAAGAACGAAAGUUAGAGGAUCGAAGGCGAUCAGAUACCGCCCUAGUUCUAACCCUAAACGAUGCUGACUAGCAAUUCGCCGUCGUUAUUCCCAUGACGUGGCGAGACGCCCCCGGGAAACCUCAAGUUUUUGAGUUCCGGGGGUAGUAUGGUUGCAAAAGUGAAACUUAAAGGAAUUGACGGAAGGGCACCACCAGGAGUGGAGCCUGCGGCUUAAUUUGACUCAACACGGGGAAGCUGACCAGGCCCGGACACCAGAAGGAUUGACAGAUUAAGAGCUCUUUCUGGAUUUGGUGGGUGGUGGUGCAUGGCCGUUCUU
RNAcentral lists this ribosomal RNA (867 nucleotides) under Macrobrachium mammillodactylus. RNAcentral's name for it is "bacterial SSU rRNA". It matches the Rfam family "Eukaryotic small subunit ribosomal RNA", at positions 462 to 1295 of the family's 1831-position model. Lineage: Eukaryota; Metazoa; Arthropoda; Malacostraca; Decapoda; Palaemonidae. The record is from RNAcentral.